Long non-coding RNA from Phragmites australis (common reed), 563 nucleotides. RefSeq lists it as uncharacterized. Lineage: Eukaryota; Viridiplantae; Streptophyta; Magnoliopsida; Poales; Poaceae. The record is from RefSeq and is a predicted model, not a curated record. The transcript is spliced from 2 exons.
CGUUUGGUUGCCAGUACAGAGGGUGCAGGCUUGCAUCCGCACGUGCAAUUUGUACGCGUGGAUGCAGGAUGGAAGGCACGCGGGAAUCGGUCGUAGCUUUGGAUGCAGGCUCGCUGCUAGGUUCAUUGUCUCUCUCAAACUGCUUCACCUCGUCUAAAAUAUACAUACAGCUCUAUGAGAUACCGUACAGACAGACACCUAGCUGACUGAGAUGAACAGUAAGGAGAUAGAUGGACUGAGGAGAGCAAGAGGUUGAAAGUCGUCGAUGAGUUAAUGGAGUUGUGAUGGGAGGAACAGUGGCAGGUGGCAGGAGGUGGUCGGUUGCUUUUCUGUGUGUGAGAGACUCGGAGAGAGAGAGAGUGAUGGACUGAGAGAGAGCAGGAACAGAGAGGGGCCGGUGAUGGAAAAGAUCUGAGAGAGGAAAAUAUCUGAGUAAGAGAGAAUUUGAAUGAUAAUUUCAAUUAGAUGUAUUUGAAUUUAAACUGGAUUUAGGAUAAUUCAAAUUGAACAUGAAUCAAAAUUUGUAUCGAACUGAAUUGAAUGAUCAAAAGAUUAUUUUAGGA